This 400-nucleotide ribosomal RNA is filed under the name uncultured bacterium. RNAcentral's name for it is "bacterial SSU rRNA". It matches the Rfam family "Bacterial small subunit ribosomal RNA", at positions 355 to 747 of the family's 1533-position model. The record is from RNAcentral.
UGGGGAAUAUUGGACAAUGGGGGCAACCCUGAUCCAGCGAUGCCGCGUGAGUGAAGAAGGCCCUCGGGUCGUAAAGCUCUUUAGGUUGGGAAGAAGGUCAUGAGGUGCAUAGCCUUGUGAUUUGACGGUACCGACAGAAUAAGCACCGGCAAACUCUGUGCCAGCAGCCGCGGUAAUACAGAGGGUGCGAGCGUUAAUCGGAGUUACUGGGUGUAAAGGGCGCGUAGGCGGCAUGAUGUGUGUGAUGUGAAAGCCCCGGGCUUAACCUGGGAAGUGCAUUGCAAACUGUUGAGCUAGAGUAUGUGAGAGGGUGGCGGAAUUUCCGGUGUAGCGGUGAAAUGCGUAGAGAUCGGAAGGAACGUCAAUGGCGAAGGCAGCCACCUGGCACAAUACUGACGCU